This 253-nucleotide ribosomal RNA is filed under the name uncultured bacterium. Its description in RNAcentral is "partial 16S ribosomal RNA". It matches the Rfam family "Bacterial small subunit ribosomal RNA", at positions 524 to 776 of the family's 1533-position model. The record is from RNAcentral.
UACGUAGGGGGCAAGCGUUGUCCGGAUUUAUUGGGCGUAAAGAGCGUGUAGGCGGUUCGGUAGGUCCGUUGUGAAAACUCGAGGCUCAACCUCGAGACGCCGAUGGAAACCAUCGAACUAGAGUCCGGAAGAGGAGAGUGGAAUUCCUGGUGUAGCGGUGAAAUGCGCAGAUAUCAGGAAGAACACCGGUGGCGAAGGCGGGACUCUGGGCCGAUACUGACGCUGAGGAGCGAAAGCGUGGGGAGCAAACAGG